AUGGGAGCAACUGCUGAUGGAGGACGAGUCAAAGUGUUGUGACUGGCUGCUAUAGAUCCUCUGAUGGUAAUGCCCCUCUACAUUUGAAUUGACAAAAAAGUUGCAGAAUUUCAGUUCCUUUGUACUUAUGAGAUCUUCAGUCCACGACGAAAAAUUGCAGAGUUCUACUUCGUCAAGAUAGGAGUGAGAUUUCGAUGGGACACGACCAGAUUAUGAUGUUGGACUAGCAAAUUUAGUAGAUGAUGAUGUUGUACAUCAAUUCAGACCCGAGAGACUGUAAGCUAAAAGAAAAAAUAUACAGGAGUUCAAAGUCGAGAAAUAGGGG
Molecule: long non-coding RNA, 325 nt
Filed under: Triticum aestivum (bread wheat)
Lineage: Eukaryota; Viridiplantae; Streptophyta; Magnoliopsida; Poales; Poaceae
Description: long non-coding RNA (TAES_LNC019674)
Source: RNAcentral